GUUGAAGCACCAGUUCCCAUGUGAUCACCAAAGUUAAGCAAUGUCAAGCCUGGUCAGUACAUAGAUGGAUGACUGCUUGUGAAUAGCAGGUGCUGUAAU
Non-coding RNA from Acanthosepion pharaonis, 99 nucleotides. The record is from the annotation of a GenBank genome assembly. Lineage: Eukaryota; Metazoa; Mollusca; Cephalopoda; Sepiida; Sepiidae.